RNAcentral lists this long non-coding RNA (2880 nucleotides) under Homo sapiens (human). Its description in RNAcentral is "HSALNT0389806". Lineage: Eukaryota; Metazoa; Chordata; Mammalia; Primates; Hominidae. The record is from RNAcentral.
CUCAAAAACAAACAAACAAAAAAGUGAAGAAAGUACAUCCUAGCUCUACUCAAAAGACUGUAGGAAUCAGAUACUAGCCACUGUCCAGAAGCCCUCAAACACACCUCAAGGCCAAAAAACACAGCACUUUUAAGUGGCAAGCGAGGGUGGUAAAGGUAGCCCAGAACACUGAAGAGCUACAGAAGUUCCCACAAACUGCACGGCUUUCCGUCCCUUCCUCCACUGUAGAUAGCAAGGGUCAGUCAUGGCCUCAGAGCCAGGCUACUCCUCGUUAAGGUACAGUCUCCGGCCUGUACUUUGGCCACAUAACAAAGCUUGGUCUGAGACAGCAGCUAUUUCACACACCUAAGCCCCAAGCAACAGACAAGGAUCAGUCAAUAUGGUUGAGGGAACCUGCACUUUCUGGCAUGUAUCGGAAUUCCUCAGGCUACAAUUAAAAAUCCAGAACUGCCAUUGUGAUCUUGACUUAGUCCUCAGUAAUAAGUCCAAGCCCUGAAGGGAUUGCAGACAGACCCUGGCGUGGUGUGGACCUGUUGCUCAGGGAGGUGUAUGUGUGUGUGUUUGGGAGUGGGAAAGAGAUGGCCCUUCAAUUCCAGACUCCUCAUUUUGGGUCUUAUUCUCCUCCCUAUAGACACACGGACAGCAGUCCCAAGAAAAGCAGUCCCUUUGAGGCGGCUGGGAAACCACUCACGUGCUCUGGGAGGACAGAGCUGAGCCUGGAGCAAGGGGGGAGGGGAAAGAAGAUAAUGAAUGGGCACAUCCACCCUGAUCUGUGAUCUGUAGCUAGGAUUGAGCAAACCUCAGCUAAAUUCUUCAGAGGCAGAAAGAGAGAGACACUCAAAGAACAACAUAACUAGAGGACAGGGCUGGGAGACAGAAGGGGCAAAACAGGAAAACAGCUCAUUUCUAGUAAGUGACUUUAAACUCAGCUGAGGUCCUGGUUGGUUCUCUGGCUUGAGGAAAGAGAGGAAGUAAGGAGUUGCGGGAGCGCACACACACUUCUGUGCGUGUGGAACGGUCUCACCCAGACGACCCCCCUCCCCCAAAGGAAAUCGAGAUAUUCCUCUAGGGCUAGAGGGGACAACUGGUUUUGUGGGACAGGAGGAAGGAAAACGGCGACAGACAGCACUCCCUGUCACUUCUAAAAGAGAAGAGGGACAGGUUCCUUCACACCUAGCAAAGAUCCUCCGAUUCUGGAAGCAGGGGGAGCGGAACUUAGGGUACCUCUCUCCCACAACUAGAAUGGACAGGCCAGAGGACAGUCAUAGCGGUUUCCUUAAGGCUCACCAAAGGCAGCCGCUCCGGAUCCGGAUCUCCACCUCCGCCCCGCCCCUCAAUACUCCCAGGUGAUUGACAGUGCGGAGACCAAUGGGAGGCACUCUUGGCCGACCUACCCAGCGGCGCCGGGACACUACUGAAAACCUGUGUGGAAUCAAAGCUCACCGGAGACAGCUGUGGCCAUUGUGCCUAUAACGCCAACACCAGGCAUAUCCUGGAGCCUCAGCUGGAGAAUUUACCUGUCUUGGACAACCUGCCACAAAACUGUGCCCACAUCUAGUUCCAUCUGGUCAUCAGGGCGUCUCUCUUUCUUACACCCAUAACACACAAUCCCCACUUCCGCGCCAGUGUUCAUGAGAAGUGAAAAGGAAGAGGGAAGAGAGGGCUUGUUGGGAGGACAGAGGGGAUGGGGCAGAGUGGGAUUCCUAGCAGGUUCUGGCUGGUGACAAGCUCUUCCCCCAGCCCCCUUGCCAUACCCAGUUCUGGAACAGUUCCUUAUACAGGAGGGAUGGGUAGUCCCCUAGGCCCACCUUUCCAAGGCUGGAGGUGGGCCAAAGCCAGGACUCUGUCCUUCCCACAUACUGUGUGCAUACAUGGCUGUGACUGGGGUGCAGGGGAGAGAAGGGGGUAUAAUAGGCCCAUAGUGACUAAUUAAGUUUCUUCCUCAACCCUGGGGCCCCUGGUGGUGUGAAUGUGGUGCCAAGUAGAUUGGCUGGUGCCUCUGCCCUUCCUAGAGAUAGCAACUGGGCCCUGGGGUACAACGAAGGUGAGGGUGGGGAGUGAUUGCUGUGUUGGCUCCUCCAAAGCCCUGGGGCUCUCAGAGUAACCCCCAGAAACACCCAGAGCCAAUAACUACAAAAAUAAAGAGUUUAUUUCCUAUCCAAAAGUGAGCCCAGGGUGUUGGGUGGUAGAGGAGAGCUGGAGACCUGGGCGAGUUUUGGAGCAGUCCAGGCCCUGAGUGAGACCAUGUUGUAAUGGGGGAGAACAGGCUUGGCAGCGGUCUGGGGUCAGGGAAAGGAUAGGGAGUGCUGUUGGGAUUUUUGAGUUGCUAGCAGCAGAAGAGACCACCUUGAGAGACAGCCUGCAGAGAGACAGAAACAGAGAUGUUGACAGACCCACGCCUAGGAGUAGAAGCAGACAUUACUGGGCCCAAAAAGCACCUGUUGGGCACAGGGACCUGGGAACACACUGUUAGGUAAGGCAGAGGUUGCAAACUCAACCCCUGGGCUCCACCCCGGACAUUCCAAAUUGGAUGAGGCCCAGGAAUCUGCUUUUUAUUUUUUUAUUUUUUUGAGCCUCCGCGCCUGGCAGAAUCUGCGUUUUAAUAGGAUCUCAGGUAGUUCUGAUGGACACUCAAGUUUUGAGAACUCAAAUACCCACAGAGACCAAACAAAAAUUUCAAACAAGGGAAGCUAGCUGGGUGUCGGGAGAUGAUCAAGAAACGUGGUGACUGCGAAGUAGAGUGCAGAGCAGAUCCCAUCUAAAGAGGACAGUGGCCACCCAGCCCAGCUGAUUGCCAGUUAUUGCCAGAUGGAAUGUUGGCCCACGGUAGCCUGAUGUCCUGAGGUUUUUUUUGUUUUGUUUUGUUUGAGCAGGGUCUCA